CGAUGCCUACGGGGCGCAGCAGUGGGGAAUAUUGCACAAUGGGGGAAACCCUGAUGCAGCAACGCCGCGUGAGUGAAGAAGUAUUUCGGUAUGUAAAGCUCUAUCAGCAGGGAAGAAAAUGACGGUACCUGAGUAAGAAGCCCCGGCUAACUACGUGCCAGCAGCCGCGGUAAUACGUAGGGGGCAAGCGUUAUCCGGAUUUACUGGGUGUAAAGGGCGUGUAGGCGGGCCUGCAAGUCAGAAGUGAAAUCUGGGGGCUUAACCCCCACACUGCUUUUGAAACUGUG
RNAcentral lists this ribosomal RNA (287 nucleotides) under uncultured bacterium. RNAcentral describes it as "partial 16S ribosomal RNA". It matches the Rfam family "Bacterial small subunit ribosomal RNA", at positions 333 to 637 of the family's 1533-position model. The record is from RNAcentral.